This 253-nucleotide ribosomal RNA is filed under the name uncultured bacterium. RNAcentral's name for it is "partial 16S ribosomal RNA". It matches the Rfam family "Bacterial small subunit ribosomal RNA", at positions 524 to 776 of the family's 1533-position model. The record is from RNAcentral.
UACGUAGGCAGCAAGCGUUGUUCGGAUUUAUUGGGCGUAAAGGGCUCGUAGGCGGCGUGUCGCGUCGGGAGUGAAAGCCCGCUGCUUAACGGCGGGUUGGCUUCCGGUACGGGCAGGCUAGAGUUCGGCAGGGGAGACUGGAAUUCCUGGUGUAGCGGUGAAAUGCGCAGAUAUCAGGAGGAACACCGGUGGCGAAGGCGGGUCUCUGGGCCGAUACUGACACUGAGGAGCGAAAGCGUGGGGAGCGAACAGG